AGGGGCAUCAGGUAUCAGCUUGCUGAUACGCUGGCGACCGGCGCACGGGUGAGUAACGCGUAUGCAAUCUGCCUGUAACAGGGGGAUAACCCGGAGAAAUCCGGCCUAAUACCCCAUAAGGAUGUCUGUCCGCAUGGGCGGUCAUCUAAAGGUUUUCCGGUUACAGAUGGGCAUGCGUUCCAUUAGCUGGUUGGCGGGGUAACGGCCCACCAAGGCGACGAUGGAUAGGGGUUCUGAGAGGAAGGUCCCCACACUGGUACUGAGACACGGACCAGACUCC
Molecule: ribosomal RNA, 280 nt
Filed under: uncultured Bacteroidota bacterium
Lineage: Bacteria; Pseudomonadati; Bacteroidota
Also listed under: 1 other name
Description: uncultured Bacteroidetes bacterium partial 16S ribosomal RNA
Rfam family: Bacterial small subunit ribosomal RNA
Source: RNAcentral